RNAcentral lists this ribosomal RNA (857 nucleotides) under uncultured archaeon. RNAcentral's name for it is "bacterial SSU rRNA". It matches the Rfam family "Archaeal small subunit ribosomal RNA", at positions 9 to 871 of the family's 1478-position model. The record is from RNAcentral.
UGAUCCUGCCNGNACCUGACUGCUAUNGGAUUGAUACUAAGCCAUGCGAGUCAUUGUAGCAAUACAAGGCAGACGGCUCAGUAACGCGUAGUCAACCUAACCUAUGGACGGGAAUAACCUCGGGAAACUGAGAAUAAUGCCCGAUAGAACACUAUACCUGGAAUGGUUUGUGUUCCAAAUGAUUUAUCGCCGUAGGAUGGGACUGCGGCCUAUCAGUUUGUUGGUGAGGUAAUGGCCCACCAAGACUAUUACAGGUACGGGCUCUGAGAGGAGUAGCCCGGAGAUGGGUACUGAGACACGGACCCAGGCCCUAUGGGGCGCAGCAGGCGAGAAAACUUUGCAAUGUGCGAAAGCACGACAAGGUUAAUCCGAGUGGUCUCUGCUAAAGGAACCUUUUGUCGGUCCUAGAAACACCGAUGAAUAAGGGGUGGGCAAGUUCUGGUGUCAGCCGCCGCGGUAAAACCAGCACCUCAAGUGGUCAGGAUGAUUAUUGGGCCUAAAGCAUCCGUAGCCGGCGCUAUAAGUUUUCGGUUAAAUCUGUACGCUCAACGUACAGGCUGCCGGGAAUACUGUAGCGCUAGGGAGUGGGAGAGGUAGACGGUACUCGGUAGGAAGGGGUAAAAUCCUUUGAUCUAUUGAUGACCACCUGUGGCGAAGGCGGUCUACCAGAACACGUCCGACGGUGAGGGAUGAAAGCUGGGGGAGCAAACCGGAUUAGAUACCCGGGUAGUCCCAGCUGCAAACUAUGCAAACUCAGUGAUGCAUUGGCUUGUGGCCAAUGCAGUGCUGCAGGGAAGCCGUUAAGUUUGCCGCCUGGGAAGUACGUACGCAAGUAUGAAACUUAAAGGAAUUGGCGG